This 253-nucleotide ribosomal RNA is filed under the name uncultured bacterium. RNAcentral's name for it is "partial 16S ribosomal RNA". It matches the Rfam family "Bacterial small subunit ribosomal RNA", at positions 524 to 776 of the family's 1533-position model. The record is from RNAcentral.
UACGUAGGGGGCAAGCGUUGUCCGGAUUUAUUGGGCGUAAAGAGCGUGUAGGCGGUUUUACAGGUCCGCUGUGAAAACUCGAGGCUCAACCUCGAGCUGUCGGUGGAAACCGUCUGGCUAGAGUCCGGAAGAGGAGAGUGGAAUUCCUGGUGUAGCGGUGAAAUGCGCAGAUAUCAGGAAGAACACCCGUGGCUAAGGCGGCUCUCUAGUACGGUACUGACGCUGAGACGCGAAAGCGUGGGGAGCGAACAGG